AAUAUUGGACAAUGGGCGAAAGCCUGAUCCAGCCAUUCCGCGUGUGUGAAGAAGGUCUUCGGAUUGUAAAGCACUUUAAGUUGGGAGGAAGGGGUUGAAGCUAAUACCUUCAAUCUUUGACGUUACCAAUAGAAUAAGCAACGGCUUAUCCUUUGCCAGCAGCCGCGGUAAUACAGAGGGUGCAAGCGUUAAUCGGAAUUACUGGGCGUAAAGCGCGCGUAGGUGGUUCAGAAAGGUGGAAGUGAAAUCCCCGGGCUUAACCUGGGAACUGCUUUCAUAACUGCUGAGCUAGAGUACGGUAGAGGGUAGUGGAAUUUCCUGUGUAGCGGUGAAAUGCGUAGAUAUAGGAAGGAACACCAGUGGCGAAGGCGACUACCUGGACUGAUACUGACACUGAGGUGCGAAAGCGUGGGGAGCAAACA
This 422-nucleotide ribosomal RNA is filed under the name uncultured bacterium. RNAcentral's name for it is "partial 16S ribosomal RNA". It matches the Rfam family "Bacterial small subunit ribosomal RNA", at positions 360 to 774 of the family's 1533-position model. The record is from RNAcentral.